This 497-nucleotide ribosomal RNA is filed under the name uncultured bacterium. RNAcentral's name for it is "partial 16S ribosomal RNA". It matches the Rfam family "Bacterial small subunit ribosomal RNA", at positions 28 to 507 of the family's 1533-position model. The record is from RNAcentral.
GAUGAACGCUGGCGGUGUGCCUAAUACAUGCAAGUCGAGCGAACAGACGAGGAGCUUACUCCUCUGACGUUAGCGGCGGACGGGUGAGUAACACGUGGAUAACCUACCUAUAAAACUGGGAUAACUUCGGGAAACCGGAGCUAAUACCGGAUAACAUGUUGAACCGAAUGGUUCAACAGUGAAAGACGGUCUUGCUGUCACUUAUAGAUGGAUCCGCGUCGCUUUAGCUAGUUGGUAAGGUAACGGCUUACCAAGGCAACGAUGCGUAGCCGACCUGAGAGGGUGAUCGGCCACACUGGAACUGAGACACGGUCCAGACUCCUACGGGAGGCAGCAGUAGGGAAUCUUCCGCAAUGGGCGAAAGCCUGACGGAGCAACGCCGCGUGAGUGAAGAAGGUCUGCGGAUCGUAAAACUCUGUUAUUAGGGAAGAACAAAUGUGUAAGUAACUAUGCACGUCUUGACGGUACCUAAUCAGAAAGCCACGGCUAACUACGUG